GAUGAACGCUAGCUACAGGCUUAACACAUGCAAGUCGAGGGGAAACGACAUCGAAAGCUUGCUUUUGGUGGGCGUCGACCGGCGCACGGGUGAGUAACGCGUAUCCAACCUGCCCACCACUUGGGGAUAACCUUGCGAAAGUAAGACUAAUACCCAAUGAUAUCCCACGAAGGCAUCCGAAUGGGAUUAAAGAUUUAUCGGUGAUGGAUGGGGAUGCGUCUGAUUAGCUUGUUGGCGGGGUAACGGCCCACCAAGGCAACGAUCAGUAGGGGUUCUGAGAGGAAGGUCCCCCCACAUUGGAACUGAGACACGGUCCAAACUCCUACGGGAGGCAGCAGUGAGGAAUAUUGGUCAAUGGGCGAGAGCCUGAACCAGCCAAGUAGCGUGCAGGACGACGGCCCUAUGGGUUGUAAACUGCUUUUAUAAGGGAAUAAAGUGAGUCUCGUGAGACUUUUUGCAUGUACCUUAUGAAUAAGGACUGGCUAAUUCCGUG
This 493-nucleotide ribosomal RNA is filed under the name uncultured bacterium. Its description in RNAcentral is "bacterial SSU rRNA". It matches the Rfam family "Bacterial small subunit ribosomal RNA", at positions 28 to 507 of the family's 1533-position model. The record is from RNAcentral.